This 253-nucleotide ribosomal RNA is filed under the name uncultured bacterium. RNAcentral's name for it is "partial 16S ribosomal RNA". It matches the Rfam family "Bacterial small subunit ribosomal RNA", at positions 524 to 776 of the family's 1533-position model. The record is from RNAcentral.
UACGGAGGGUGCAAGCGUUAUCCGGAUUCACUGGGUUUAAAGGGUGCGUAGGUGGGUCUGUAAGUCAGUGGUGAAAUCUCCAGGCUUAACCUGGAAACUGCCAUUGAUACUAUAGGUCUUGAAUUUUCUGGAGGUUAGCGGAAUAUGUCAUGUAGCGGUGAAAUGCUUAGAUAUGACAUAGAACACCAAUUGCGAAGGCAGCUGGCUACAGGAAUAUUGACACUGAGGCACGAAAGCGUGGGGAUCAAACAGG